RNAcentral lists this non-coding RNA (45 nucleotides) under Schistosoma curassoni. Lineage: Eukaryota; Metazoa; Platyhelminthes; Trematoda; Strigeidida; Schistosomatidae. The record is from RNAcentral.
AUCCAGUUGACGAGUCCUAAAUAGGAAGAAAUACACGUCCUGGAU